RNAcentral lists this ribosomal RNA (443 nucleotides) under uncultured bacterium. RNAcentral's name for it is "partial 16S ribosomal RNA". It matches the Rfam family "Bacterial small subunit ribosomal RNA", at positions 338 to 795 of the family's 1533-position model. The record is from RNAcentral.
CCUACGGGUGGCAGCAGUGGGGAAUAUUGGUCAAUGGCGGCAACUCUGAACCAGCAACGCCGCGUGAAUGAUGAAGGUCUUCGGCUUGUAAAGUUCUUUUUUUCGAGAAGCAGAAUCCGACGGUACAUUAUGAAUAAGCCUCGGUUAACUACGAGCCAGCAGCCGCGGUAAGACGGAGGCAGCAGUCGUUCGGCGGAAUGACUGGGGGUAAAGGGUUCGUAGGUGGGGUUAGAAGUUAGUAGCGAAAUUCCGGGGAUCAACAGCGGAACUACUUCUAAAACUGCUGGUCUGGAGUGCAGGAGAGGUAGUCGGAAUGCGUAGUGUAGCGGUGAAAUGCGUAGAUAUUACGAGGAACACCGAUUGCGAAGGCGGCUUGCUGGAGUGGAACUGACGCUGAGGCACGAAAGCGUGGGGAGCGAACAGGAUUAGAUACCCUAGUAGUC